UGCUUUUCUAAAAAGAGAAAAGAAAAAGUUCUUUUUACUCCCUUGUUAGGUCUGGAAUACAGCUAACCUGCUUUAGCGCAGAAGACAGAACUAAGGAGCCGUUCUUUGCAGAGAUGAAUUAACUUUGAGUGUUUCUAAAUGUGUUUAGUUUUUGAUGUGGCUUGCACAUUUUCAAUAUGAAGUCCAUAUAGACCAUGGUGAGCUAAACACUUUUUUAACUGCAUUUUGCUGUUAGUGCCUAAAAUUCCAGUACCUUUCUGCCAAAACAAACAAAGAUGAAUAUAUGUGGGAAGACUCCAUUUCACUUCAGAUACAAUUCUUAACUACUGAGUAAGUUUUCCAUUGUUGCGUAUACUUGUAAUACUAGUAAUGGGCAGCAGAUGAGCGUUUGGUAUGAAUUCUGCUCAGAUCAGUUCUCAUAAGAAACGAAGUGCUGUUUAACAUAACUAUUGGGCUAAAGGGCUUCAUGAAUUAGGUGGUGCUAUCAUUAAAAGGUGACAGCUGCUCAAGGCAAAGAAAAGAGCACACUUGGCAUCCUUUUAGUCUUGGCAGGAAAAACAAAGCUUGAAUAGGCAAAGAACUAAAUUACUGUCGUUACCAGAAGUGGUUCUUCCAGAACAAGAGUAAAGAAACCUUGGCAGGAUUCGCUGGAGAAUCCUGAACCAUGGAUUCCCAUGCCAUAUCUGCGCUUCGCAUAAAUAGACAUGUUUCAACUGUUAAGAGAUUGAACAACCUUCACAAGAGCUAGAUGAAUGUCAUUAUUAAAAGUAGGGUAUGGAGCUGCAUUGUAUGAGCCUUUUCCCAUUUUUCAUCACAAGGUUUUCCAAAGCAAGUAUUACACUUGUAAGUUUAUUCUUUACAGAUAAAUGUUACCUGAUUUUACUUUUCCUUACAUGUGUACUGCUUUGACUCCCACCCUUUGCUGUAAAAAUUCCUUGGAUCCUGUAUGUGUGGUACCUCUAACACCAACCUACAACUUGUUUCCGGUGGCUUUUAUCUCUGUUGCUUCAUAGAGAAUACAAAUGGUGUUAUUCUCGCCGUGGAACUUGUGUGUGACUGGGAGUGACUCAUUCAUAAAUCUGGAAUGGUCAGACCAUUUAGUCAUGUAGUUCUUUUUAUGGUGUGGCAAGGGGAUCUUGACGGUAAAGGAGACAGGAACAUUUGCCAUAGUACUUUGCUUUGCAGUGAAAUGAAAAUUCCGUUCUUCUGCAGGAAAUGAUAGACAAAAUUUACAACAUGCGUUUUCUGUGUCAGAUUAGUAUCUGUAGAAAACGUAGUGUUGAAAUGGGAUGUGUAAGUCAAAUCCUUAUUUUUUUCUGCUUUGCAUUCUAAAUAUAUUAUGCAUAUUUUGUAAGUAAAAAUUGACUUGGGGUUUAUAGUGGCUCUUGUUACAGACUGAAAAUGAACACACUUUCAAAUACAUGUUAAUACAAUAUUUUAAGCAAAACUAUAGUAAGCCUUCACAAAUACAGCUGUGACCUAACUCAAAUAAUUAGAACUGAAAUGGUUUAUGUAAUAACAAGUUACAUGUACUAUUAAGACAUCUCUUUUGUUUGUUAUGGUACAUAUAGUAAGUUAAGCAGCAGCAAAGCUGAUCAUGCCUUAAUUUGUUUAAGCAUUGUAGUUUACUUGAAGGACUAUAGAUGGGGAUGUAAAGUGUUAAAGAUCAGCAUAUGGUACAUGUGACCUCAUCAGUGUGAUGUUUUUGUCUGGGUGGUGUUUGUCAGUACCAGUCAUGGGCACUGUCAGGCUGAAGUGUGAUUCUGCUGUUACUGGUUGAAGCAGCUGGAGUCAACUGCAUUAUACUUUGAACAAGAAAAUAAAGAAUAACGAAGUGG
This is a long non-coding RNA of Neopsephotus bourkii (Bourke's parrot), 1838 nucleotides long. RefSeq lists it as uncharacterized. NCBI's taxonomy places the organism in Eukaryota, Metazoa, Chordata, Aves, Psittaciformes, Psittacidae. The record is from RefSeq and is a predicted model, not a curated record. The transcript is spliced from 2 exons.